This 424-nucleotide ribosomal RNA is filed under the name uncultured bacterium. RNAcentral's name for it is "bacterial SSU rRNA". It matches the Rfam family "Bacterial small subunit ribosomal RNA", at positions 202 to 622 of the family's 1533-position model. The record is from RNAcentral.
AAGACCUUCGCGCUUUUGGAGCGGCCGAUGCCUGAUUAGCUUGUUGGUAAGGUAAAAGCUUACCAAGGCUUCGAUCAGUAGCUGGUCUGAGAGGACGACCAGCCACACUGGGACUGAGACACGGCCCAGACUCCUACGGGAGGCAGCAGUGGGGAAUUUUGGACAAUGGGGGCAACCCUGAUCCAGCCAUGCCGCGUGAGUGAAGAAGGCCUUCGGGUUGUAAAGCUCUUUCAGCCGGAACGAAACGGUUACGGUUAAUACCCAUGACUACUGACGGUACCGGAAGAAGAAGCACCGGCUAACUACGUGCCAGCAGCCGCGGUAAUACGUAGGGUGCGAGCGUUAAUCGGAAUUACUGGGCGUAAAGCGUGCGCAGGUGGUUUUGUAAGUCAGAUGUGAAAGCCCCGGGCUCAACCUGGGAACU